Molecule: microRNA precursor, 102 nt
Filed under: Pelodiscus sinensis (Chinese soft-shelled turtle)
Lineage: Eukaryota; Metazoa; Chordata; Testudines; Trionychidae
Description: miRNA (ENSPSIG00000019942.1)
Source: RNAcentral
UAUUUUUCUAUAUACGAAUAUAUAUAUUUAUAUACAGCAGAAUAUAUAUAUAUAUAUAUAUGUGUGUGUGUGUGUGUGUAUAUAUAUAUAUAUAUAUAUGUA